This 496-nucleotide ribosomal RNA is filed under the name uncultured bacterium. RNAcentral describes it as "partial 16S ribosomal RNA". It matches the Rfam family "Bacterial small subunit ribosomal RNA", at positions 28 to 523 of the family's 1533-position model. The record is from RNAcentral.
GAUGAACGCUAGCGGCAGGCCUAAUACAUGCAAGUCGAGGGGUAGAAGAGGCUUGCUUCUUUGAGACCGGCGCACGGGUGCGUAACGCGUAUGCAACCUACCUUCAUCUGGGGGAUAGCCCGGAGAAAUCCGGAUUAAUACCGCAUAAAAUCACAGGAUGGCAUUAUCCAAUGAUCAAACAUUUAUGGGAUGGAGAUGGGCAUGCGUGUCAUCAGCUAGUUGGCGGGGUAACGGCCCACCAAGGCGACGAUGACUAGGGGAUCUGAGAGGAUGGCCCCCCACACGGGUACUGAGACACGGACCAGACUCCUACGGGAGGCAGCAGUAAGGAAUAUUGGUCAAUGGAGGCAACUCUGAACCAGCCAUGCCGCGCGCAGGAAGACUGCCCUAUGGGUUGUAAACUGCUUUUAUUCGGGAAUAAACCUUAUUACGUGUAAUAAGCUGAAUGUACCGAAGGAAUAAGGAUCGGCUAACUCCGUGCCAGCCGCCGCAGUAA